Numida meleagris (helmeted guineafowl) is the source of this 8664-nucleotide long non-coding RNA. RefSeq lists it as uncharacterized. NCBI's taxonomy places the organism in Eukaryota, Metazoa, Chordata, Aves, Galliformes, Numididae. The transcript is spliced from 6 exons. The record is from RefSeq and is a predicted model, not a curated record.
GCAAAACACUGUAAGUUACUAGUUCCUGUAUCUGCAAGAUUAAUGCUGUGAAGCGUAUGCUGACUAAAGCAAUCUCAAGAAUAGCCUUUACUUUACAAGGAAUAGCACAAAAUAGCCAGGAAAAUACACACAGUGUAUCAGCAGCUACACCAAUCAACGCUAUACUGGAAGCUGGAGUUGGGGAGAUGAACUAGAUGACUUCUAAAGGUCCCUUCCAACUCAGAACAAUUCUGUGAGUUCUUGAUGACGGUCUGAAAGCUGAAGUAUGUGAAAAUAAGCAUUUUAAAUAAUUAUAUUUUCAAUACCAGCUCUGUAUGUAAAUAUAUAUGCACACGCUCUCUAGUAAGUCUCAGUUAACACCAACAACCAGGUAGCUUAAUGUUGUGUCAUCAGCGGUCAGUAGGACUAGUCAGAGGCUGAGAUUUAGGAUUAAACCCAGAAAACAACAGGUGUAAGUUUAGCAAUUUGACCCGGGAGUGGGAAAACUGAAUUCAAGCCACACCUCUGCCUAACGGGUACAGAAUCUAAGGUAAAUAGAUAAGUCUCUCUUCAGUCUAUCGUCUCUGUAGAACUGACGUGGUAUUUCUCUGUGAAUAGGGGAGUCUUCAAGUGAGAAGUAUACACUGCAAGGUCUAGGAACUCUUCAUGCAGCAGUCCCACUGUUAUACUUACAGGUAGAGUGCACUGGCUCCAAUGAUGGAAGCCAGGAAUGCUGAAACCACACCAGACCCAGACCCUAUCUCAAGGCAGAUGUCGAUCCUAAAGACAGAAAACUUUGGGACAAAAGAGUGAUCCAGAUGGAAAGGGCCUCGGGAGGUCUCUAGCUCCGUCUCUUGCCCCAAGCAAGCCCAGCUCUGGCAUCAGACCAAGCUACUCGGUGUGUUCGCCAGGCAGUUCUGAAGCCCUGUGAAGAUGGAGCCUGGACAGCCUCACUGGCAACCCACUCCGCUGCCUGACUCUCCUCAUGAAAAGAGAGAAAUAAAAGUGGAGACUUCAAACUGUAAAGACUGAGAAACUGAAAAGGCGCUUAUGGGACAAAUGUUCUAGCAAGAGGAAACAUUUUAAAACACAAGAGAAUGAACUGGCUAUUCUUAUAGUGAGGGUGAUGUGAUGGGGCCUGGUGUGAGUACACCACCUGUAGGCUCCAUUGUUUGCUAGACCCACCGGUGAGCUGCUGCUGGCAUGAGGAAGCAAGUUGGGUUGGACUUAUAACACAACCACGGAGACAAGAGUUAUUAUUGAAAUUCCACCUGUCCCCGUUGGCUUCCUAUGCACUCCUACUGCAUAUCUCUUACAUACAGAAGGCAAAAAUCAGAAGAAAACACACAAAAAAUUAUUAUGGCUUUUAAUUUACUUUGACAAAAGAGCCUUUUUAGAAUGGAGAAAGCUUUACCUAUCCUUUUAUUGUUGUAAAUUAACUGAAUUUUCAUCAGACUUAGGAAUAAAGGAAAAGACAGAUACCUGGAAAUGAUACUGAGAAUCUUCUCUCAUAGAAGUAAAAACUAUGAAAAGUUCCGAUGCAGAACAUGUGGGUCAUUGCCACUGACAAAUACAACAUCAGUUAUAAUUAUAAAGUAAUCCACAAUGAUUUUACAUUAAAACUACCCUGCAAAACUUAGUAUUUCCUAAACAAGAUGGAGCUGCUAGAAUGUCCAUUGCUAUGGGUGGGCAUUGCAAUUUACUGGGCAUGGUGGUGAAGGGCUGAUGGUUGGAUGGGAUGACCUUAGGGAUCUUUUCCAACCUUAAUGAUUCUAUGAUUCUAUAAUUCUAUCAAAUAGGAAGCAACAUUUUUUUCCAAGUUUUAUAUUUUAAUGAAAUAUUGACAGCUGUGCUGUCAAUGGACUGAAUAGUGCCUUGCUAAAAACCACAUAAUUAAUUAAAUACACAAAAGGAUUGAUAAUAGCUUAUUGAAACCAUUGCUCCUUCACACCUGAGUCCAUUCUUCUUUGCAUUAACAGGAAGAAAAGAAGGGCCUGGUAUCAGGCAAGAUCCACCUAAUUUUCUGUCCAAGGACCCUCAGUCUGAAGUCUGUUCUCCAUCUUUUUACCUGUACUGUUGUCUCCUACAGGCAGUUUGCAGAAGGAUCCAUGUAGUCUAUACCUAUACCCCCUCUUUGGUAGUGGUGUAUUACAAUGCUGAUUCUCCAUACAAUUUUCUCUUUGAACACUGCCUGUAAAUGAAGCACCAGCUCUGUUCUCAGUUUGGCAUGGCAACAAAACUGCGUGUCUGGGAUCACAAGAGAAUGCUGCAAUGCUAGGAAAGCUGUGGCCCCAUUGCCACAGCAAAGGGGAGGCCACUGGCAUGGUGGGUAGACGUGAGAAAGACCUAAAGGAGUUUAAUGUGCCUUGGGAGUAAAGUCAGCAGCCCAAAGGGAACCCGCCCUGCUCUCUGAGGAGUUGGGAGCAGCCACUUUGUUUAAUACGGAUGUUUUCUUCCCUAUCCACCGCUGUCCUGUUUAUUGCCAUCCACGCAAAGCCACUUGGAGAUGAACCAACGGAAGCGGCAGCGUUUUUGGGGUCCAGUCCUGCUUCGUGGUUUUGAGGGAGGAUGAGUGAGUCUGUUUGGACUGAUGUUCUAAAUGUGAAGCUUUAUUUACAGCCUACCACAGUUGUCCUCAUUAGCAUUGGUAUGCGCUACAGACUGGAAAGAUGUGCCAACAAGUUUCCAUACAAGAUUUUUCACUAAGAAGAAGAAAAAAGGAAAUUUAAAAUGGCAUGAUCACGUCUAGUCAGUAGUUUCUUAACUACAGCAAGGAUUCCUACAUGACAGGGCACAGAAUUACGGAUUUAACAGAUACUGCCCCAGAUGAACUGUCACAUUCCUCUGCAUGAUGUACAGACAUUAUUACUGCAAUAACUUUGAUCUUUAAGAAGGCAGAGCAACUCACACAUCCUCAAACAGCAGCACCAGACCCCCUUGUAUCUUUUGCUUGGCAGAAUGUUCAAAUAGAGAAGAUAGAACAGAUAAAGUAAUAAAUGCACCUGAAGAAUCAUUCCUGUCUCCCUAAAGGCAGCUCUGCUUAUUGUAGGUAGAUCCAUUGCCCUGACAUCUUAUCGUGCUUGAACUUAUGUUCGUGCUCAAUUUAACGUGAGUUUAUGCAAAUGAUGCACUUCUGUAUGAACAGUGUCUUGGCCUCUGCUGCUUUUGACUGAGGAUUGGCAGGGACUGGCAGUGCAUCCCCAGGCUCACUGUACAGUUUCCAUUUGUCCAUUCCCAUCUGUAUUCUCUGCAAGAUUCACUCCUUAAAUGGAUCGCACAUUCCACCAACCAUCCCUCUCCCCACAACAGAUACCCGUCAGAGGACAGAUCAUCAUGAAUGGAAAAGAGCCAGUGUGGUCUUAUUUCUUAGAUGGAUUUUUGGCAAAUGAGCAGACAGUUUGGAUCAUGCAUGAAGUUAUGAAUUGCAACUGCCAAGUCACAAGGCAUUUUCCUUCUCCUGAUCAGCUCCUCUCGGCCUGCUCUGAUACAGAGGUUUCAGCACAGCUGCCUCAUGAUGUCUGUGAUUUUUCACCACCCAAGGAUCAGAUUGACCAGUGUAGUUCUGGUGCUUCCCCUCCUGAAGCCUGCCCUAGGAGCAGUGAGAGGGGGAGUGGGACUACCAGGCAGAGAGGCUAGAGGAGGAUUCAGUAGCCUUUGUGAACCAAGCACAGUGCUUUGUAUGAAAAGAUGUAAUGAAUAUCACUGGUCAGAGGCAGCCAGAGCCAGGAGUGAUGCAGCGAUUGUAUACGCUCCGCUCACAUUUAUAUCAUAGUUGCAUAGUUGCAUCCCUUCUGACCUCGUAUUCAUCUUCCUUUUGAAAACAACCCUCCAGUCAUGCACCACUGAGCACUGCUUUUGCCAUGUGCAGGAUGACCUCUGAGGACAUCAUUAAGAUAUCUCAAAAACUGGGCUUCAGACCUUUCCAUCUGGAAGUGCUGGAUAUCUGCUUGAAAGCUCUCUGACAUCUUGCAGAAAUCCAGGCUCCCUGUGCCCCCGCUCUCCUUUCAAACCUUGCUUUAUAUUGAACAGAGCAGGAGGAAGUUUAUUUUGUGUUGAACAUGAGUUUAGUUCAGGACUUUGUAAUUAGUUAGCUUGUUUCACAGAAUGCUGCAUGUGGCAUGCAGCAAAUGAUUGCAAAAUGAAUAAUAAAUUAACUGUAAAAAAUGUGAAGCUUUUGCUCAUGACAGAUUUCCAAACAAAAGUGUUGGAAGUAAGAUGUUAUUUUGAUUCCUAACACCUGCAAGUGCAAGCAGAUUUAUUUCCCCACCACACACAGAUGCUACAGAGACAUUUUGCUCACAUUGCAGACCAGCUCACCUGGAGUGUAACUUCUGAUUAAGCCUUCAGGUACCAGUGCAAUAGCAACAAUUAAGAUGCGUAGUUGUGCCUACAAUAGUUACACUGUGCUUCUUCAGCAGAUUUUAAAUUUUCAUAUAUGCAUUUAUAGUUCAGUUUAUCAUGGCAGUACAAGAAACAUUGUUCCUGAUUCUCUUGAAAUCCUGUCAGAGUGUAUGUGUAUCCUUUGCAUCCAUUCAUAUAGGAAUGAGUUUCUGACAGUCUGUUCAGAAGUAUGGAAACUAUUUCUAAUCUGAAUGGUAGCAUUUGUGUAAGUGUGCAAUGGGAUACUCUUCCUUAUUUUCCUAUCCCUUUUCAUCCAAACAAUUGGCUCCAUCAGCUUGUGGAAAACAUUGUUUAAUUACCGCAUAUAACAUCUGAAUCUAGGACUCCCAUGAUAUUGGACAGACAAUGAAUUAGUGGAUUUGUCUCCCUACAAGGAUACAGUAGACAUUUUUGUCUGUAAUAUAUUAAAAUAUGCUUUACAUUUUAAUAUCUUUUUGUUCUCCUCUUGCAUUCAAACUAUUCCCUGAAAUUAGGAAAAAAAACACUAUAAAUUCACUUUGAUUGAUGGAACCUUAAAUAAUUUUCUUCAGUGGGACUUAGCCUGUUGGUCAACACAUGUUAAACACUUGCUCUAUAGAAGCAUUAUUAAGCUCAUUAAAUUCAGAUGAAAAAAAACCUCACGAUAAUUUAAAAGAAGUUAAAGCAAUAAUCUAAGUUUAAAACAAAGUGAGUCCUUCUCUUUGUCUUAAAUAUACAUUGUUAAAACAAAAUGAAUAGCUUGUAAAUGUACUUUUUGGUAUAUUCUACUUUAGUUUUUUAGGGCUUGUAAUUAUAUUUGAAAACCUAAAAUGCUCACAUGCACUUAACUAAAUAUGAUAAAGCCUUCAGAAUCAUUCUGUGAUGAAUGUGCAGGCAUCAGGAGAGUCAGAAAAGAUGCUCUCCUAUGGAGAUGGCUUUGCUGUUGAAAUCUCCACCUGGAAAGCAGAUCUGAGGAUGAUUCCCUUCUUCCUCUACUGAUGGCUGUCUGAAGGGUACUUCUGGGCCGUGGUGGGCUCUGGUCAACUUUCAGGAGUUUGUCUCUGGAACAGUGGGACCUGAUACGGACUGCAGACCAUUGCCUAGAGAGUGUCCUGUGAGCUGACAGCUCUCCAGGCUGCAUACUUCCAGGAGGCAGCUAACUGUGUGCAUCUCCACAGAGUUCUUACUUUUGAUAUAGAGUAUGAAAUGCAUGCCUGCCCUUUGAGAUUUAGUUUGGAUAUAAGAAAAAAGGUUUUUUACGAUAAGGGUGAUGAAACCCUGGAACAGUCUGGCCCCAUACUUGAGUCAUUAACAUACAUUUUUCUUGUAAAUUUUGUGAGAGAAACAAAAUUGUCAUCCACCGUCUUUGAUAUCACAGUAAAUAGAUUUUUUUGCUGUGAAAACAGUUACGUUUGAUAGUUCCUUAAGUUUAACACUUCUUCCUAGGUCUCAAAGUAGUGCAUUUUGAAUAGCAGUUGUAGAUCCUGAGAGCUGUCCGCCAUUUAUAUGAAAGAGUUCAAUAGUAUUAUUCUGGUUCUUGGGGGCACAUGUUUACAUCAAUAUCUUCUGCCUUCUAGUUCUCCCUUGCAAAAUAGAGGUAGCACUGUGUUACUUUGCUUGCUUCAGAGAAGACUGGCAAAUGUUUUCUUUCUUUUUUGUACUAACUGCCAUAUUGCCAGGAUUUGUGCUCUCUGUUUUAAAUACUGUAUUUAGUUAAACUUGAGACUUUCCUCUCUACGUUCAGGCAGUUUUAUUUUUUUUUCAAACCCUCAGUUUAUUUUCUCAUCUUAAAUUCUGUUUAAAAAUGCCAUUCAGGUUUGUUAACAGUUGAUUGCUUAUGUUGGAAAACAAGCUUCAAGAAGAUAUCCAAAGCAAAUGUUUUUGUGCAAUUCUUUAGAUUGUGGAUACAAAGUGAGUGACUUGUAUCCUUUAAUUAAUAUACAAAAAUCACUAUUUAUUGAAUUACAAAUUUAAUUGGCAGUAUGUUAAGAAUUCCAGAAAUAACUGAAGAUUUAAGUUCCUACACAAAUAUGUUACUGAGUUGUUCUGCCUCAAAUCAUCAGGAAGAAUGCUUUUGUUUAUACAGCCUGUACAGUGAUUAAUCCGCAUAUUUCCAAAUAAAGCUGAUCUGGGUCUCUGCUAAGAGAAAAGGUUCUCUUAAGACUUUGUCAAAGGCUGAACCUCAUCCAUCCAUCUCAGCACAUAGGCACAGAAGGUGAAUUACAGUCUCUCAAAGCAAGAGAGGAAAAACAGCCAGUGCUGUUCAUUUCACUGGACUGUGAACUCAUCUCCAUGAAUAGAUACCAGGGUGGCAUUAUAAAAAGCACCGGCCUUGCACUAAGAGGGUUUCACACCAUAUUAGAGAGAGUGUCCCUCAGCAUACAGUUCAGCCAGCCAGACUGAAAAGACAGAAAUGAGCCUCAUCUGAGUUGCACUGAACAUGAAGUUCUUUGGUUUGUUUUCCAGCCUAAAAGAACUCUGAAAGAGUUUUUAUUGCGAUAUUCAACAAAAUUGGAGCGGUGCAUUCCUGUCUGGAAUGUCUCUGGUGGGAACUGAGGAAACAAAGGAGCUGGCUCGCAGACCUUGCACAGCCAGGCUCAAUGGCAGUGCUAUCCACGCAUCCAAUUAACCAGGGAGGUUUGAUCCCCCCCUCUGCCUGUAGGGUUUGAAUUUACACCCUCUGCAUGUUUGAGAAAUGCAUUCCCUGGUUAACAAAUCUCAGCUUAUCCUUUUAAGUCCUUAAUACCUCUCUAAUGCUGGCCUCAUCACCAUCUUCUCUGAUCUGCUGAUCUGCUCCUCCUGUGCUGCUUUGCUUGCUGAUGUCUGUGGUUGCACAUGCGUUGUUCUUUAGGCUGGCCUAUCCUUUCAUCUGGAUAUUUUUUCUCCUGAGUAUUUCUGCUCUGCUUCUGCAUGGUUUAAUCUUUACUUCUGUACACAUUCAUUUAAAAGAUCUUUGUUUUCUUGUUUCAGUUGUUUCUUCUGGUAAAUACUGUACUUGCAUUUGGGUUUUCCAGCUAUUCCUUGUAAUAUUUUUGAAAUCUGCUGGUUCAUCUCAGCUUUUGGACACUGGGUGCUCUCUUCUUCCUUUCUACCUGCACAUUACAGGGCAUUCACUCCCACGUUGUUCUAUAAGAGCUGUGUAUUUGGUGUGGUGUGGUGCAGCGGGGUAGCGUGUAACAGAAGAAAAAGUACAGUGGGGAUGUGGUGAGAUUUCCAAAGGCUUAUUGAACAUGCAUCAGCAAAUGUUUUACUUCUGGAACUUCCCAGUCCCAGUGCAAGGUUCAGUGCAAAGAGGUGUUGAUGGUUUCAGCUGAUCAAUAAGUGAAACAAGUCUGAAACCAGGUUAAAUCUAAGUGGUCUAGUAUUUAGCAGGGAUUCAUGCAGGGAUACAAGAAAACAGCCUAUAGCAAAAUUUCUAAUAGAAAAGGAAAUUCCAAAUGAACUAAAUAAGCUCCCUAAACCAUUUCCUGUUCUUUACCAAAGUCCUAAGACAGGCAUGUCCAACUCAUGGGCUUUAUGCAGCCCAGCACAACUCGCAAUGCAGACUGCCUCCUAACUAAACAUCGGUGUGUGAUUGGCACCACCUGGGCAGAAACUGGGAAGUGCUGACUCAAGUGAUGGCAAAUAAUUGUGUUCAUUUUGAUACACUGGCUAAACACAGUCGUGUGAACAGAGAAAAAUAUGCAGCUGUGCUGUUUUGAUACAGGAAUUUGAGAAUAAGAAUCAAGAUUGCAAAAAAAGUGAUCAAUUUGUGUUUGCAAGACCAUUUUCAGCUGACAUAAAAACGUUGCCUGUGAAUUUUCAAAUGGAAUGUAUAGAGUUGCAAUUGAAUAUUCAACUCAAAAAUUUGAUCCUGUCUGCUCACCGGGCUUUUAUAAGACUUCCCUUACCAGAGAGAAAGAUCCUUCCCUUCACAGUCAUGUUUUAUUCAUGGCACCGCUUUUUAGCAGAAGGCACAUUUGUGAGUAAUUGUCAAGGAUGAAGCACAAUAAGAGUAAAACUUCAUCAAAAAUCUGUGAUGAACACCUGGAGAACUCACUAAGAAUUACUGCCACUGCCAUCGAAACAGACUGGUGCACUGAUUUCACAAAAACAAGGUUUAUGUUUUUGUUGCUUUUUGAUUGUUUUAAUAAAAAUAUUAGAAAAUAAAAUGCUUUACUACUUCUAUAUUAACUACAGUAUAUAUUUUAAAAGGGCUGCUCCAAAAGUUAUGCCUUCUAUUUUAUGAUGUUGACCAAAUGACAUCAGAGGUGGAUGUUGGUGGUAUAGCAGUAGAACUUGAACCCUUCUGUCAAUAUUCUGUUGCAUUUUGUUGCCCUGUGACAA